This 97-nucleotide small nuclear RNA is filed under the name Phascolarctos cinereus (koala). The record is from RNAcentral. Lineage: Eukaryota; Metazoa; Chordata; Mammalia; Diprotodontia; Phascolarctidae.
UUACUUUAGCAGCACACAUACUAAAAUUGGCAGAAGGAGAUUAGCACAGCCCCUGCACAAAGGUGACACACAAACUUUUGAAGUGUUCCAUAUUUUU